AUGCCUAAGACGGCCGCUCCUCCCCAUCCCCAUCCCAACUCCAUCCCGGAGCCUCUGACCCACCCACCCGGCUCUCCGUGUGGACUGUUCGGCCCUCCACCCCUCCUCACCGCCGGGAGGCCCUGCCUGCCCCGGUGCGCCUCUUCCUCGGCACCGCCUACAGUCCCGGCUGAGCCCGGGCCCUCGGCCCGCGCAGGGGGACCCCACAGCCCGCCCAGCGCUCGGCGUACCCUCGGCCUCCCCCAGUCCCGGGCUGGCGCUCCCUGCCCUGACCCCGUCUCGGGCCCGGCCUGGCCCUCGCUAUCCCCGGCCUCUCCCCGGGUCCACUUGGGCCUCCAAGCCCCCUGGGCCGCCUCAGGAGCCGUCCGCCCCGGUCGCUCCUCCGUGCCCGUGGGCCUCUCCGUGCCCCGGCCGCCCGUCCAUGCUCCGUGGGCCCCGGCUCAGAUGCCGAACGCCCCGGCCGCCCCUCCAUGCCCCGGUUGCUCCUCCACGUCCCGGCCGCCCCUCCGUGCCCCGUGGGCCCCGCCUCAGGUGCCGCCCGCCCCGGAUCCCCUCCGACCCCGCUGGGCCCGCACAGGCGCCCCCCGUCCCUGCCGCCCCUCCGUCCAUCCGGGCCCUGCGUCCCCAGCCGCGCCGUCGCCCCGGCGGUGGUCCCCACCCUCCCUCCUCCCCGCUUCCGCACGGCCGCCGGACACUCACUACUCCUUGAGCAGCACCAUGUCGCUUCGCGGCUCGGUGGCUGCCCGCGGCCCGCCCGGCCUCCCGCCCGCUGCCCGCCGGCCGCUCUCCCCGUGGCCCGGCCCGGCCCGGCUGCCUGUGCGCCUUCGUCGUGGUCUGCUCCGUCCCCGCCGCCCUCGCCGCGGUCGCCGCGCCGGCUCCUGCCGCCCCGGCCUCGUCGCCUCUCCCGCCGCUGCCGACGCCGCCCGGAGCUCCGGUUCCGCAGCGCCGCGCGGGGGCGGGGCGUCUCUGCGGCAACCAGAGCGUCACACGCCGCGGUGCGCGCUGACGUCACGUGGGGCGGAGUCUUCCCGGGACCGCCCUCCCGUCCUUAAAUGGGCCGCGGCGCCGGCGUCGGUUCCGAGGUGGGGCCCCUUGGCGAGGGCCAGACCCGGCAGGAGGCGGAGCAGACUCCGGGGUGUCCGUCAGCGCCCUCGGUGUGAACCGCCACGGAUGCACGCUGGUGCUGGCUAA
This 1191-nucleotide long non-coding RNA is filed under the name Piliocolobus tephrosceles (Ugandan red Colobus). Its description in RNAcentral is "lncRNA (ENSPTEG00000014124.1)". The record is from RNAcentral. Lineage: Eukaryota; Metazoa; Chordata; Mammalia; Primates; Cercopithecidae.